Long non-coding RNA from Temnothorax curvispinosus, 854 nucleotides. RefSeq lists it as uncharacterized. The transcript is spliced from 4 exons. Lineage: Eukaryota; Metazoa; Arthropoda; Insecta; Hymenoptera; Formicidae. The record is from RefSeq and is a predicted model, not a curated record.
UUGGUUGGUUUACCACUGAAGUCAUGAAGAUAGGAAGGAGAGUGGGAGCUUUCCGUUACAAGAAGUAGCACCGACCACCGACUACUUCCGUUUGCGUUCCAUUUCCUUUGCGACCGUUCGAGGUUGGAGACGCGUCAUGGUGCUGGUCCAUUUCUCUCGCGUGAAAAGAAACCGCGGGAGAAACGCAAGAUGGUUAAAUCUGCGCGAAAAAUGGAAAUGAUGCAUUGCGCUUGUUGCACCAUUUGCGAAUUUGAAAACUCCUCAGGAGAAAAUAUGGGACGAAAUCCUUGGGAUGAAACCUGAGACCAAGUACAAGUCGACCACUUUCAUGCAGAAUAACUUGCCACAUCCCAUUCUUCAAAAUGACCAUUGUAAAUUGGUCUGGAAUCUUGAAGGUGUAAGAUACCCAUAAAGACUUUGGAGUUCUUAGGAAGGAAAGCUAAUGUGUAUGGAAUGAAACUAUUGAUUAUUCAUUUAAUCUACGUCGCAGCCAACAAACACGCUGCAAUAUUGAUUGCAAAGAAACCCCAAUGUGAGAAGAAUUUUUUUUCUUUGUGAAAUGUGAUACAGAUAAUAAGCUGCUCCAAAAUGACGUUAUCAAAUCUGAUGGACGUAGUGCAAAUAUGAUAUGCGUUCGAUCCGUAUGUAACUACAUUCAAAUGCGAAGAUAUUUUCGAUGCGUUCUGUACAUAAAAUGAAGAAAUUGGAUCCGUUGAUCGACAACCAAAUCACACAUUACGAUCCAUGUAAUAAGGAGAAGAAUCAUCAAUUUAUUAUUCACAUUUUGUUAUGCUUUGUAAUUAUAACGUAUAUCAUGUAUGUUUGUUAAAAAAUAAAGUACAGUUUAAUAAAUA